AGUGUUGUGGUUAACAGCAAUGAUUCCGAAAGCCAGGCCUCCGCCUUGCAAUCAAACAGGACAGGCUUGUAAUUCUACAACGGGACCACAAUACAUGCUCUUGGUUUUCUCGUUUCUGCUCUUGUCAAUUGGUGCUGGAGGUAUAAGACCAUGUUCUUUAGCCUUUGGUGCAAACCAGUUUGACAAGGGAGGUAGCGAUCCCAACAAACAGACAGUGUUGGAGAGCUUCUUUGCCUGGUAUUAUACUUCAUCUGUAGUCUCUGUUCUGAUUGCCCUAACGGGUAUCGUUUACCUUCAAGACAGACUUGGGUGGAAAAUAGGUUUUGGAGUUCCUGCAAUUCUCAUGUUCUUAUCCGCGUUGUUUUUCUUCCUUGCUUCUCCGUUUUAUAUCAAGCCAAAGGUUCGCUCAAAUGUGUUUGCCAGCUUUAUACGAGUAAUUGUGGUUGCCUUCAAGAAUAGGAAACUACAUUACCCCAAUCAGAACUCUGAUUAUCAUCACAAGAAUGGUUCAGGACCUCAAGUGCCAACGGAGAAAUUGAGAUUCUUAAACAAAGCUUGCAUCAUUAAAAGCCCUGAAGAUGUUAAUCCAAACGGAGUUGCAGCCAAUCCAUGGAACCUUUGCACAGUGGAGCAAGUUGAGGAGCUAAAAGCCCUCGUUAGAAUCGUGCCAUUGUGGUCAACAGGGAUCAUGAUAUCAAUAAACUUGAGCCAAAGUUCAUUCCCACUACUACAAGCUCAAUCCAUGAAUAGACAUCUAACUAAAGGAUUCCAAAUUCCAGCAGGGUCAUUCGGGAUGUUUUUGAUGAUUGCAUUAACAAUUUGGGUAUUACUGUAUGACCGCGUGAUGCUUCCAUUGGCAUCAAAGAUCAAAGGAAGACCAGUUCGUCUAAAACCUAUAGUCAGAAUGGGACUUGGUAUAUUCGUGUCUUGCAUGUCCAUGGUAGUCUCUGGUAUUAUCGAAAAUAUUCGACGAAGAAGAGCAAUCAGUGAAGGGCUGUUGAACAACUCGCAGGGGUUGGUGGAGAUGUCAGCAAUGUGGCUCAUUAUACCAAACAGUUUAAACGGUAUAGCAGAGGCGUUGAACGCGAUUGGCGCCACAGAGUUCUAUUAUUCAGAGCUCCCAAAGAGUAUGUCAAGUAUUGCAUCAGCUCUUUUAGGACUGGGAAUGGCAGUUGCAAAUCUUUUAGCAAGUGUUGUUUUGAGUGCUGUGGAUAAGUACACGAAAGGAGAAGGGAAAGAAAGUUGGAUUUCAAGCAAUAUCAACAGGGGACACUAUGAGUAUUACUACUGGCUUCUUGCUCUAAUGACAGGUUUUAAUCUGCUUUAUUUUGUGGUUUGUUGCUGGCAAUAUGGACCUUCUGUUGAUGUUGACAUCACUAUGAGAAUGAUGGAACCUAGCGACGAUGAAGAUGACGAUGACGAUGAAGAUAAAGAUGAUUUGCCUAAGAAGAAUAAAUCUACACCUGACUUGAAUUCCUGCUAGGCUAUUCUCUUAUUACAUUGUUGAUACAUAGUACUAGUAUUUAUACAGAAUUGCUAUUACAUUUUUAGCUACUACUAGUAUAGUAUAUUAUAUAGUCCACUUUCCCUAAUUCGUUCUUUUCAGCCACCAAAAUAUUCAGCAUGAUUUGAGCAGUAUGCUUAUUUAAUUUAUUUAUCUGAAGAAUCAAAAUAUAAAAAAACUAAUUCAUACUGAUUUAUGAUCAAAUAAUUGAUAAAUUGAUAAUUGAUAAAUUGCGUAACUAUCAAUGGAUAACCAUUUAUGUUGAAUUGUUAAAAAGUCGCUUAACCAAAUUACCUCAUUAUUCGUGAAGAGAUGAAUCUCAAAUAGGCAUUUUGUUAUUUUCCCCAAUUCUGGAGAGAUGCACUUGCAGGCAAUAGUUUUAUGCUUUAUUUUAUCACACUACCAAAUAAUAUGACAAAAGUAUAAUUAGUUUUAAUAUACUAGUCAUUAUCUUUUGAGAACAGAGGUUAAAAAAAAACAGAUCAUUGGAAGUACUAGAGGGCUGGGGUGGGUGGUGGAGUUGGGUUAUUGGGUAGUGGAUGGGGUAGAGUAGAGUAAGAAAAAAAAAUGUUUUUUUUUUAUUCUUUAAUUUUGAAAUUUUAGCAUAUACUUAUUUAAUUUUUUAAAUAUAUAUACUCUUGAGUAAAUUAAAUAAUUAUAUUUAUACCAUUUUGUAUAUAAAGUCCUUGACUUAGAGUUUAGUCUCCUACUUUUAUUUAUGGCUAUCUCAAAAUCUUGGUUAUUCUACAUUGUAAAAGUGUUUGCUUUUGAGCAAAGAUGCAACUUGUGAACUCAUGUACAUGAUUCAUUCGAUUUGUUACCUUGUUUCUAAGUGAUUUUCAUUAAUUUAUUUUUCUAUCAAAUCUUAACGGUUAAACCAAUAAUCAAAUCGAUAAUGAUCAAUAACCGAUAAACCAAUAACUGAUAAGUCAAUAUUUUAAUGGUUCUAUAACGGUUUAACAUCUCUACAAACCGAUAACCAAUAAGUCAAACCAAUAUACUUCAAAACCAAAUCGAAUCGACCGAUACACAACGAAUGACACUCUAAACCCAUCAAUAUUUGUUUUAUUGACAUUUUAAUUUGUUCCAAUAAACUCUUGGAUUCAUUUUGGACCCUUUUAUUAAAAAUAAAAAAAAUAAAAAAUCUUUUUAUUAUAAGUUGAGACCUUGUGAGAAGGAGAUAGUGGGACCAGCAGCAAGGAAAAUAAAUUAGUACUUGUCUUAAAAAUUGUAAAAGAGAAAUAACUACAAUUAAGGAUAAUAAUAAAUUAGGAACUAUAUAUUAAAUUAUUUAUUAAUUUUAUAAAGUAAAGGAAGGGCUUAGAAGAGCCAAGAAUCUCAAGAAAAAUAAAGAAGACCUCUUUUCUUUGUCUUGAUUUUGUUCGAAAGGACCCUCUUAUUCUCAUGACCUGAUCUGGUCAGUACCCAGCCGGGCCUCUUUUGUUCCAAUGAAUUUGAAAACAAAAAUGUCUGUUAUAGGUAAAUGUGAAAUACUUAUACAAAUAAAAAUGCGGGAGAGAUAAAAAAGAUGCAGGGUCGUUUGUCUGCUUGGCUAGUCAAGCAUGGGCUAAUUCAUAGAUCUUUGGGCUUUGAUUACCAAGGAAUAGAGACUUUACAAAUAAAGCCCGAGGAUUGGCAUUCCAUUGCUGUCAUUUUUUAUGUAUAUGGGUACAACUAUCUACGCUCUCAAUGUGCCUAUGAUGUAGCGCCUGGCGGGCUGUUAGCUAGUGUGUAUCAUCUUACGAGAAUAGAGGAUGAUGUGGAUCAACCAGAAGAGCUAUGCAUAAAAGUAUUUGCCUUCCGGUUUAGGUGGACAACCUGGCAAAUAUACAUCUACAGGAAUUAGCUUAUCGACUCCCCGAACAGUACUAUAAGAAUCGGUACUGAACAUCCCGCCUGUAAUUGUACAGGCUCCCAUAGCAAUAACAUAUUUUGGUUCGGGCAUUUGCUCAUAUAAUCUCACAAAAGAGGGGGCCAUUUUCAUUGUUACUGUUCCGGCUGUUAAAAUUAGAUCCGAUUGUGUAGGACUCGAUCUUGGUACGAGUCCAUAACGAUCAAAGUCGAAGCGUGAGUCUUUGGCUAGCUUUUUACUUAUGAGGCGCUUAGGCUUAAGAGCGAGUGCAAAUACUCGACGCCGUGAAUCAAGAAAUUCGGGUGAUAUACAUACGAAGGCGUUGGUCCAUCGGUGCCUUAGGGGAUUGAGUGCUGUUUGAACUAUUGAUUUACGUAAUUGGAAAUAACCAAUUAGGUUUACGGCGAAACCUAGAAAUCGAUCACUGAUCCAAUUUGAGUACCUCUGCAGGAUAUACCUCAACAGAAAACUUAACGUGGAUAAGUAUUAUUAAACAUAUCAAAAUAGUAUAAUAGACAACUAUUAUUAAACGGUGAGAUGUCUUUUUAUUAUAAGCUGAGUAGAUAGUGGGACCAGCAGCAAGAAAAAGAAAUGCAACCUUCCACAUUGAAUGCAAGUACAGCUACACAUUCCUUAAUUAAAUGUACCGAGUUGAAAUUUUAGAUAUAAAAAAUUAUUUAAUAAGGAACGCUUUCUUAAAAGAGAAAAAAAAACUUUCAAACAAAAUCACUUUUUAGGUCAACUGUUUAGACUACUAUUUAUUACUUUUUUUUUUCUUUUUAUUAUGGCCACGCGGGGUUGAAAAAAGGUCCUAAAUAGUUUGCUUUCAAUUAUAAUAAAUACUCUACAACUCUACUGAAAAUUAUAGAAUAAUAAUUAUAGGGAAAAAAAAAUUUGGUCAGAAAAUUUGAUCAAAAUUGGUAAAAUAAAUAUGUUAUUUUAUCUUUUUGAACAUUUUAACCUUUUCAACUUUAAUAUCUUUUAAUUAAAAAUUGACAAAAAGAUCAGUUUAUUUUUAAAUAAAAAAGAUAUUAUAAAUUUUUUAAAUUUCUGGCCAUUUAGCAUUACCCAUAAUUAGAACAACUUUAAAUAUUAAUUGAGAAUUUGAUUAACUCUUGAAAUUUCACCCAUGACAUUUGAGUCAGUAUAGAUGAAUAACACAUCAUUGAAAUUUAAAAUUUAUGUAAAAUGCACUAUAAAUCAUAAUAAUUAAUUUAAGAUAUUUUUAAAAAUAUAUUAGAACUUUAGUUGAUUCUCAAAUUUUUACUUGUGUCAUCAUAAAUUGAGACAGAAAGAAUAACAUAUAUUAUUUGAAAAUUACGUUAAAAAUACUACUCUUUCUGUUCAACAAUACUUGUCCUCUCUUGACUUUGCACAUUUCUUAAGAAACUAUAAAUAAAAGAGUAAUUUUACUAUAUCACCCUUUGAAUAUACUCCCUUCGUCCACUUUUAAUUGUCAUGGUUUUCUUUUUUAGAGUCAAACUAUAAGAAUGUUGACUAACACUUUAUGAUGAAUUUUUUUUUUAUCAUAUUGAUAUGCCAAAAAUUGCAAUUAAAAGUACUUUUCGUAUAUUUUUUUGUUUAAAAUAUCGAAUUAAUGUAAUCUAAUUUAACUUUGAAAAUUAGUCAGAUUGACUUUCGAAAAGCGCAACAUAACAAUUAAAAGUAGACAGAGGUAGUAAUAAAUACAAUGUCUUGAAAAAUAUAAAAGGAAAUGACUAUAAUUAAUGAUACCGAUAAAUUAGGAACUAAAUGUAAAAUCAUACUUUGAUUUCAUAAAGUGGACAAGUAUUGUUGAACAUCCCAAAAUAGUAUAGUGGACGGCUAUUGUUGGACAUAGAGAAAAUAAAUUACAAUACUUUACAUUUUUAUUUUUAAAAAAAUUAUAUAUAUAUAUUGUUAAAGAGUUAUCGCUUUAGCGGUUUUGAUAAUAAACUUAAUUUUUUUAUAUCACGUUAUCCAUUUUUGACAAGCCAAUCAAUAACUCGAUAGUAAAUUGAUAAAUUAUAUCGCUUUAAUUUGAGUAAAUAAAGUCAGGAUUUAGUUUCAUACUUUCAUUUAUAACUGUCUCAAACUCCUAGCUAUUCUACAAGAUUACAAUAUUUGUUUUGAAUGAGAUGUAAUCUGUAACCUCAUGUUCAUGAUUUAUUUGAUUUGUUACUUGUUUCUAAGUGUUUUACCAUAAUUUUAAAAAUUAUAAUAUUUUAAAGGUUAAAUCAAUAAUCAAAUUAAUUAUGAUCAAAUAAUUGAUAAUUGAUAUCUUAAUAAUUCAAUAACAAUGGAACCGAAAUAAGUCACCUAAUAUAAUGUAAAGGUCAUAAAGAGGAUUUAUUCUUUCUAGAUUAAAUAUUACUUCUCUGUCCACUUUUUAUUAUCAUGUUGUGUUUUUCGAAAGUUAAUUUGACUAAUUUUAAAAAUUAAAUUAGAUUACAUUAAUGUGAUAUUUUAAACAUACAAUUUAGAUAAUCAAAAACUACAAUAUAUCACAUUAGGAUUGCAUAUCGAUCGGUUCGAUUCGGUUAAAAUAUUGGCUUAUCAGUUAUUGAUUUACCAAUUUUUGAUCGUUAUCGGUUUAACUGUUAAGAUUUGACAACAAAAAAAAAUGAAAAUCACUUAGAAACAAGGUGACAAACCAAAUGAACCGUGCACAUGAGUUCAAAAGUUACAUCUUGCUCAAAAACAAACAUUUUUACAUUGUAGAAUAACCAAGUGUUUGAGACAACAAAAAAUAAAAGUAGGAAACGACCCUCUAAGUCAAGGACUUUAUAUACAAAAUGGUAUAAAUAUAAUUAUUUAAUUUACUAUCGAAUUAUCGGUUAACUCAUUAGAAAAAACCUCAAACCGUUAAGAACCGAUAAUCCGAUAAGAAAAAAAAAUCAAAACCGUUAUCAAGACCGCUAAACCAAUAACCCAAUAUGAUAAAUCAAUAACUUUUUUUCGAUUCGAAUUAUCGAUUUCGGUUCGAUUUUGAAUAGCCCUAUAUCACAUCAUAUAUAAAUGGUCUAUUCUCUUUAUUUAUCCACUUUCGUCUUGACCCUUAGUCUUCAUCCAUUUAUUGUUACAGUAUUAUAUAGGGAAUUUUUUAAUUAUUAAGGCAAAUCAAAACGAAUCAAAUUAACGGAAUGGUUUUAGAGAAAACUGGAAGGGGCAAGUUUUUUUAAAAGGAGAAAAAAAAAAUUAGAUCAUAGAGAUGUGCCACAUCACUUUCUAUAUAUCUAACUUUAUAUUAUAUAUAGAUGUAGAUUAAAAGUAAAAAUUCUAAAAGUGUAAUUCAUGGAUAAUUAUUCAUUGUAAAAAUUUAAAUAAUAAAGAGAAAAAUAUUUAAAAUAUGUUAUCAUUUUAUAAUUAAAAUAAGGUUAAAAAAAGAGAGAGAAUAAAUAAGUAAAUAAAUAAAUUUAUUAAGAGUAGAAAUUAGAGGGGCGAGUUAUGAAUAGUUACUUGGCAUGUGAUGAGUCUUUGUUGUAAAUGUUCAUCAAUUAGGAGUAAUAAAAUAUUUAUUUGUAAUAAAUUAAGUAAUUUACUUUUACAAUAAAAUAAUAAAUUUAAAUAAGAAAAAAAGUCAAAAAGGAGAAAAAAAAAUAUAUAAAUGGUGGUCAUAGAAAUGUGUCACAUCACCUAAUCUGUGUUUCUCUUUUAUAUUAUUAUAUAUAUAUAUAUAUAUAUUUUAUUUUAUUUUUCAAUUGAGAAUGUGUGGGAGACUACGACCAUCUCCAACCCACCUCUAUUUUACUCUCCAUACUCUAUAUUUGGAGAGUAAAAUAGAGAAUGGGGACUCCAACCUACCUCCAAAUCACCCUCUAUUCUUCAAAUUUGGAGAACUACUAUUCACACUCUCUAUUUCACUUUUUUAUUAUUUUAUUAUUAUUUCUAUUACUUUCUAAUUAACAUAUUAUUUUACAUAUAAUNNNNNNNNNNNNNNNNNNNNNNNNNUUUUUUUUUUUUUAUAAAUACAAUACAUGAUAUGAUAAUUUAAAUACAAGAUAACAAUACAAUACAUAACAUAAUAAUUUAAAUGCAAGAUAACAAUACAAUAUAAUACAUAAAAUAAUAAAUUAAAUACAAUACAUAACAUAAUAAUUAAUUGAUCACAACAAUUUAGAAAUCCGGUAGGUCGUUUCCAGGUUUAGCACUAUUCGAAAAAAAAUUAGGAUAUGAUUCCGAGAAUUGUUGCGAUUGUGGUUGUGACUACAGUUGUGAUGGUAUACGAUAUGGGUUAUUAUUUAGCUGAUGGUAUAUAUCCUAAUAAAUGGUCUACAAUUGUUCAAACUAUUCGUAAUCCUCAUUCCCAACAAAAAAAAUAUUUCGCGAUGAAACAAGAAUCGUGCCGAAAAGAUGUUGAACGUGCAUUCAGAGUUUUGCAAUUAUUGCAGGACUGUCACGUUUUUGGAGAAAGGAAGUGCUACAUGAUAUAAUGACUACAUGUAUUAUACUGUACAACAUGAUAAUUGAGGAUGAACGUGAUCUCAAUGCACCAAUUCAAGAUGUUGUAGAGGCUCCAACUCCAACUAUAGAAAUGGUGAUAGAUGAAAAUCUCCGGUUUGAACAAUUUUUAGCUAGACAUAAAAAAAUUAAGGACAAAAAUGCUCAUUUUGAACUCCGUAAUGCAUUAAUAGAGCAUUUAUACGAGUAACGUAAUAAUUUUGAAAAUUGAAUGUUUAUGUAAUUGUAUGUCACUUUUAUUUGAAUUUGUCCCCUAAUUUAUGUAUUAUAUUAUAUUUUCUUGCAAUUUAUGUUAUUAAAAUUUAGAAUAAAAAAUAAUUUUAUAUCACAUUAAAAAUUAUAUAAAGUAAUUAUUUGGGAAAAAAGAAAUAAAGGAUUUAUAUUAUGAAAUACGAAAAUAAGAAUGAAAUAGAAAUAAUAAUAUAAUAUUGAGAAGAGAGAAAAGAUUCCUUUUAGAGAAUAAAAUAGAGAAUUGGGUUGGAGUUGGUUGUCUGGAAAAAUAGAGAACUCUAUAUUUGAAGAGUAAAAUAGAGGAUUGGAUUGGAGAUGCCUGAGAGGAUAAAUGGUGGGGACCAGCCAGGAAAAGAAAAGUAACUUCUAAUAUCGAAUAAGGUUAUUUUUUAUUUUAAUUAAACAUCUACAUAACAUAAAUUUAAAUUAAUCAAGCUUUUAUACAAAUAAAUGAGUGCAAAUUAGGAAAAAAGGAAAGAACCUUUCAAACUGAAUCAUAAACAAAUCCUCUUUCCUCAGCCUGUUUAUUUUGGUCAAUGGCACAAAUUAGAAUAAUUUGGCUUUCUUAUUUCUUAUAUAUUAUUGCUUUGCUUGCUUCUAUGUUAUAUUUAUAUAUUAUAUAUAAGAGGAAAUUUUGUCUUCUUAUUUCUUAUAUGUGUACAGUAUAUUUGGGAAUUUAUUAAAUUUGUGGGCCAAUAUAAUUUUUCGUAACGUCUUUUAAUUGUAGUUCCCUCCAUAUUAUAUUUCUUUUCAUUAAUGGCCACGUGGGGUUGAGAAAAAGUCCUAACUAAUUAAAUUUCAACUAUACUAAAUAAGUACAAUACAUUAUUAAUAACUUUAAAUAUUGAUUGAAAAUUUAGUUGACUUUAGAAUUAUUACCUAUGUCAUUUAAAUAAGGAAACAUGGAUAGCAUUAAUUAUUUGAAAUUACGUAAAAUGCAUUAUAAUAAUUAUAAUUUAAAAUAUUUUUAAAAAUACAUUAAAACCACUUUUAAAUUUUCAUGUGUUACAUAAAUUGAAACAAUAAUAUACGUUAUUUAAAAAUAUAAUAAAUUACAAUACUUAACCACUUAAAAUAUUUCAAAAUCAUGCCAAUGUAUCUAAUCUAAUAUAAUACUUAAUGGGAGGAUAUAUAGAUGAGAUUAGUUAUGAUGAGAUAAAUUAUGAUGGGAUAAGUUAUGUUGAAAUUAUUUUUUUAUUGAGUGUUUGAUUUGGUUGUAUUCAAAAUAAUAUGAAUUGCAUAAAAAUGAUUUAUUUGUUUACAAAAAUACUCAUUAUGAAUGUCAAAAUAAUGAUGUACAAAAAGGAUUUAAAGAAAUAUUUUUACCAUGAACUUAUUAAAUCCCAAAAUCCAAGCAGAGACAUAACUUAUCUUGAUACUAAUUAUUAAUCUCAAAAUAAAUUAUCCUAUAUUUACCAACCAAACAAUAAAUUAAGUGAAAUUAUUAUUUAAACAUUUAUAGCUAACGAUAGAGUAAUAUACAUUGACACUGGCCUUUUUCUUGCAUUUGAUAAAAAGCAGGUUGCAUCCACUUCCCCAUCAUUAUUCUGUGUCUGUAGAACCAACAGAUUUUAAUUUUUUCAUCAUAUUUUUUUCCAUUUUAUUUCUCCUUUGAUACUCAAUUCCUCUGAUUACUAAUCUCCAGUAAGUGAGAAGAUGAAGGAAGAGAUGGCAGAGUAUCUUCCAUUAUCUCAAACAGAAGAUUCAGAGAAGCAAACUUCUUCACAUCCUUCUCUGAUUCCAAUUAAAAGUAGAAAAAAGGGUGGAUUAAUUACCAUGCCUUUUAUCAUAGGUACUCGACUAGUUCAAAUAUUUUGGGGAUUUUUUUGUUAUGUUUUGUAAUUAAGUUAAGUUUAUUUUUUGAAUUGUUACAGCAAAUGAGGCACUGGAGAGUGUGGCGAGCUAUGGGCUUUUACCAAAUAUGACAUUUUAUUUGAUGAGAGAUUACAGGAUGGACAUUACUACAACUCAAAAUCUUCUGUUUUUCUGGUCAGCUACUACUAAUUUUUUGCCUAUUGUUGGAGCUGUUGUUGCUGAUUCAUAUUUAGGUCGAUUCCUUACUAUUGGCCUUGGUUCCAUCUUCAGUUUCCUGGUAUAUAACUAAAACUUAUACAUUCCCAUUUCAUCUUCUUCUUCUUCUUCUUCGUUUGGGUCAAUGGUAAUUAACUAAAACUUUUAAAUUAAACUAAUAAAAUUCAAGUUUUUUAAAUCUAUAAGUCAAAUUAAACUAAUAAAAUACAACUAUUUUAGUUGUUUUAUAAAAAGAAAAACAAAAAAUAUGAUAUGAGUGAUAAUACUAAAAUAUUCCACAAAAAAUAAUAAUGAAAUCGCAUAAAACAAAUAUUGUAAAUAAAUAAGUCAUUAUGAAGAUAUGAUAAUUUAAAAAUAUUUAAUCAUGCUAAAAACAAAUCAAAUAAGAAAUAAUUACAUAACAAAAUUUUUUAAAAAUUAAAAUUAGAUUGUAUUAUUAUUAUCUAAACCAAUGUAAAACUAAAAUAAAUAUUCAACAUUAUUGUCAUUCUUAAUGUUGAAUUGAUCUUUUUGUUAGAAGUAUUAUUGAUUUGAAUUUGAUCUGAGUUUUAUUAGAGUUAGUUACUAAUAUCUAUGAACUAUAAAUUUUAUUAGACCAUUCAAAAUUUUAAGUCAAACUUGAAAUAAUAAGUAAAGACAAAAAUUAUGAAAAAGUAUAAAAAAUAUUUAUAAAUUAUUGUAUCAAGUAAAUAUUUUUAUGCAUAAAAGAAAAUUUUAAAAUUAUAUAUAUAAUGUUGGGUUGGUAUAGUCUCGGGUUGACUUUUAUAAGUUAAAAUAAAACUAAUAACCAUAUUUUUCUCAAUACCAGAUCAAAUCAAAUCAAAUCAAAAAAACGCAAUCAAACACCGUAUAAAAUUAAUAUAUGUAUAAUUUUUAUAAAUAUAACAUUUAAAUAUAAAUAUUAUAUAAAAUUAAUACACCAAUAACUUCUAUCCUAUUUAUUAACUAAACAUAAUAUAAAAUUCAUAUAUAAAUGACCAAAUUAUAUACUCCCUCCGUCCCAUUUUAUAUGUCACAACUUUUACUUUUUUACUUUUUUACUUUAAUACUAGUGUUUUUCCCCCUACUUUUCUUAAUUGAAUUUUCACAAUCUUUUAUUUUUUUACUUCAAUUUUGAUUUUUUACUUUUUUAAAAAAAAAUCCCGCUGAAAGUGCUAAUCCUUAUACCGUCUCCAACCACACUUUAAGAGGUUGUUUGGUUUGAAUACAAGUAUGAUGAAAAUAUUUAUGCUGGAUAAAUUAUGCUGGAAUUAAUUAUGUUGAGAGUAAUUUUUAAAACUUAUAUUCAUUGCAUAAUUUCUAAUAAUAAGUUGUUUGUUUACAAAAAUAUCUUCCACCUUAUUUAUUUUUUUUGUACAUUUUACUUGCAAGCUUUAGUUAUUCAUUCUUAAAAUUAAAUUUUUCAUCUUGUUUAGCUUAAUUUUUUUGUGUAUGCAUUUUCAUGAUUGUGACGUGUGUUUUUAAAAUUAAACUUUCAUCUUAUUUAACGUAGAAUAAAACUUACAUCUUAUUUAGCUUAAAAAUGAAUUUUUCAUCUUAUUUAGCUUAAAAAUGAAAUUUUCAUCUUAUUUAGUUUUAAAAUAAAACUUCCAUCUUAUUUAGCUUAAAAUAAAACUUCUAUUUUUAAGUUUAUUAUAGUAAAAUAAAUUUUAUUAUUAAAGUUAUCUACAUUUUUAAUUGAUAUAUAAAAUAUAAUUUUUAAGUGAGUAAUAAACUAUUUAAUCUGAAAAUAUGUAAUUUAAUAUUGGAGUGAACAUUUUAAGAGAAAUCAAAGUAUAAAUAAACAUUAGAAUUAGGCAAAUAAAUCCAACUCAUAAUAUAUUCAUGAAUAAAAACUAUAUUUAUAAAAUGUAAUUUUUAAUUAAAAAUAUACUCUUAUAAAAACAACAAAUAAUUAAGGUUGUGAAUGUUAUUAUAAAUGUUGUUAAAAUUAUGUUAAUAUACAUGAAUGUAAAAGUUAAAAGAGAGUUUAAGAAGCGUAUUUUUGUUAUUUUAUAUACUUUAUCCCUAGAUAAGUUAUCCUAGGAUUACUAUUUCACCUCCUUGCAGGGAUAACUUAUCCAAGUACCAAUUGUUAAUCCUGGGAUAAGUUAUCCCAUCCUUUACAACCAAACGGUGAAUUAAAGGGCACUCAAAAAUUAUCCUGGGAUUAACACCUCUUAUCCAUCACACCAAACGACCCCUUAGUGUACACUUUGAGUUUGCUAGUUCAGAUCUCACUUUAUGUGUUUUAGUGUGAACAUUUAAUUAUAUGAUCCUUAUUUAGGAAUAUAUGUAUAUAUACAGAUAAAUUAUUUUGAAGUUAAAGGGUGCACAUACACCCACUACCUUAAAAGUGGUACACGCCUUUGAAUUGGUAUAUACUUGUUAUUUAAGCUAUUUUUUGCCAGGGCACAUGCAAAAAAAUAGGUUCAGUUGGACCUCUUAAUUAAACGGUAUAUCUGGCUAUGCCCAUAAGAGAGUUUUGGGCGAAAAUACUCAACUCUUAAGCUACAUUCUUUCCCUAUCAUAAUAAACAUAAAGCAUCCCUAAACUAUACAAAAACUUGCAAGUUACGUCCCUCCGUUAGUUUUAUGUUAAGAAAUAAUGGCUUCAACCAAAAGCGCAUGACUAUCCCUCACCAAACGACUGCCAUUUGGACUCUAACGCUAAAAAGAUUCAGCAAAUCUUAAUAUCAAAUCAAUCCAUUGUUGUUCAGUUGUAGAAAUAAAAAAAUUAAUACAAUAAUAUUCUUACCAAAAAUUGAUAAAGGAUAUCUAUAUGUUUGUUAUUUUCAACAUGUAAGCAAUUGAUUUAUUAGUAAACUUUUAAAUUGUUUUAUGGAUUCCAAAUGAGUAACUAUUAACUAUAUAUAAAAGUCUUCAAGUUAUAAAGGUAAAAGAUGAAUUAUGUAUCUCAUUUAUACACGAUAUUAACUAUUAAUUAUAAAAAUCUUCACAGUAUAAGAGUAAGAUUAUGUACACAUCACUCUUCUCAUACCCACUUAUAGAAUUACACUGAAUAUAUUGUUAUUGUUAUUAAAAAAAAAAAAAACAAAUUAUGCAUCUCAUUUAUAUACAAUAUUAUAUUUACUUUAUCUAAACAUUAAAAUUGGGAUAACAUAGUUCAAGGAUGUUAUUUAUUCAUUGUUAUAAUAUGAGGAUGUAGAUUUACUCCCCAUAAGACAAGAGGAUUGUAGUUAAGCUACACUUGAAUGCCCUGUUGUUGCAGGGAACAGUAGUGUUGUGGUUAACAGCAAUGAUUCCGAAAGCAAGGCCUCCACCUUGCAAUCAAUCAGGACAUGAGGCUUGUAAAUCGACAACGACAUCACAAUACAUGCUCUUGGUUUUCUCGUUUCUGCUCAUGUCAAUUGGUGCUGGAGGUAUAAGACCGUGUUCUUUAGCCUUCGGUGCUAACCAGUUUGACAAGGGAGGUAGUAAUCCCAACAAGCAUACGGUGUUGGAGAGCUUCUUUGCCUGGUAUUAUACUUCAUCCAUAGUCUCUGUUCUGAUUGCCCUGACAGGUAUCGUUUACCUUCAAGACAGACUCGGGUGGAAAAUAGGUUUUGGAGUUCCUGCAAUCCUCAUGUUCUUAUCCGCGUUAUUUUUCUUCCUUGCUUCCCCGUUUUAUAUCAAGCAAAAGGUUCUCUCAAACGUGUUUGCCAGCUUUAUACGAGUAAUUGUGGUUGCCUUCAAGAAUAGGAAACUACAUUACCCCAAUCAGAACUCUGAUUAUCAUCACAAGAAUGGUUCAGGACCUCAAGUGCCAACGGAUAAAUUGAGAUUCUUAAACAAAGCUUGCGUCAUUAAAAGCCCUGAAGAUGUUAAGCCAAACGGAGUUGCAGCCAAUCCAUGGAACCUUUGCACAGUGGAGCAAGUUGAGGAGCUAAAAGCCCUCAUUAGAGUCGUGCCAUUGUGGUCAACAGGGAUCAUGAUAUCAAUAAACUUGAGCCAAAGUUCAUUCCCACUACUUCAAGCUCAAUCCAUGAAUAGACAUCUAACUAAAGGAUUCCAAAUACCAGCAGGGUCAUUCGGGAUGUUUUUGAUGAUUGCAUUAACAAUUUGGGUAUUACUGUAUGACCGCGUGAUGCUUCCAUUGGCAUCAAAGAUCAAAGGAAGACCAGUUCGUCUAAAACCUAUAGUCAGAAUGGGACUUGGUAUAUUCGUGUCUUGCAUGUCCAUGGUAGUCUCUGGUAUUAUCGAAAAUAUUCGACGAAGAAGAGCAAUCAGUGAAGGGCUGUUGAACAACUCGCAGGGGUUGGUGGAGAUGUCAGCAUUCUGGCUCAUUAUACCAAACAGUUUAAACGGUAUAGCAAAGGCAUUGAACGCGAUUGGCGCCACAGAGUUCUAUUAUUCAGAGCUCCCAAGGAGUUUGUCAAGUAUUGCAUCUGCUCUUUUAGGACUGGGAAUGGCAGUGGCAAGUCUUUUAGCAAGUGUGAUUUUGAGUGCUGUGGACAAGUACACCAAAGGAGAAGGGACAGAAAGUUGGGUUUCAAGCAAUAUCAACAAGGGACACUAUGAGUAUUACUACUGGCUUCUUGCUGUAUUGACAGCUUUCAAUCUGAUUUAUUUUGUGGCUUGUUGCUCCCAAUAUGGACCCUCUGUUGACGUUGACAUCACUAAGAAAAUGAUGGAGCUUAGUGAUGAUGAUGAUUGAUGAGUUUUGCCUAAUUCGUUCACCAUAGGCAGAUUCUGUGGAACAGAAAUAUGUUUAUUCAAAAUCAUAUGUUGGCAGUGAGAAUUUUGUUUUUCUUUCAAUAAGAUAAUUCCGAGGAAAAAAGUCUAAUGCGAUGGGAAUUUCAGAGAGCAGUUUAUAUUAUAGAUGGAUAAACAACAACCUCCAACAGAACAGCUUCAAAACUUGUAUCCACUUAUUCACAUGAAAAGAUUCAAAAGGGGAAUGAGGCAAGAAUAUGCCUUCUGAAAAGUUUCCAUAAUCUCUUGUAAACGAUGAUAUUGUAUUGGCAGAUGAUAGUUAGAAAAUCGAUUGGUAUUGAAAGAAGUAUCAAUGAACAUAUCUAUCAGCUAGCUCUAACUUUUAUAAGGACAGCAGAAUAGGAGAGUGUGUAGCAUCCUGCUCCAACAGAGUAUGCUGUGUGAGAUAUUCAGCAAACAGAACAGAUGGUACUCCAAGAAUGCAGAAUAGUUGUCAUAGAUGCAAAUAUCCAUCAACCUCCAUUAAGACAUUAAUAAGAACUAGAACGCAAAUGGAAAAUGUCUAAGCUAAUACAAAGAGCAAUGGAGCUUAAUAAAGUACACAUUAGAAUUUGAAAAUGCAUUCUAUUUCCCUUUCUGUGUUUCUGAAUCAUUUAACAGUCAGAAUUAGUUAUUCCAUAAAUGAUUACAAGUCUUUAGCACCCUCCAUCCCCCCACCCUACAACAACAACUAUGCUUUAAUGCUACGAAAGUUGGUGUCGGCUUAUAUGAAUCCUCACACUACGUUGUUCCAUUUUUAAAAAAUCAUGUUAGAGCAAAUAUCAUACAAAAUAAAACUAGAAGUUCCUACAUUUCUACUGGCACAGAAACAAAAAGGCAAUAUUCCCUUCCCCUAACCCAACCCCAUAAAAAUAAUACAAUAAACACAAAACUCAAUUGCCAAGAGCAAAAUCUUCGUUAUUGAUAAGCUAAAUGUCAUACGAGAUUGCUUGAAUUCCAUACAGCGAGUUGACAAAAUUCAAAUUGCAACCAUUUCUCAAUUUCAACAACGCCGAAUGACGCACAUGAAAAAUUAAUUAGGGAAAAGAGUCAAAAAUACUCCUCAAUUUUAUUUUAUUGGUUGACUAUGCUCUUACGGUUAAAAUAAAGUUAUUUUUAACCCUAUAGGAAAAUGCAUGCCUUUCACAAUUGUUUAAUGGGAAAGGGGUCAAAAAUACCCCUCAACUUUGGUUUAUUGUUUGACUACGCCCUCGCCGUUAAAAUGAAGUUAUUUUUACCCUUGCCGUUACUAAUUUCACCAUUUUUACCCCUCAAUUGGAUGGAAAACCCCAAUCAACUAAAAUUACCCAAUUUCAAUUAAAUAACCCGAUUUUCCGUUUUAAUCCGAUCCCGAUCCAUUUAUAUAAAUUAAAAUCCUAAACCAAUCUCUCUAAUCUUCUCCGUCUCCUUCCUCCGUUGAAACACAUGCUACUAAAAUUGACAACAAAUGUUUUGUAGUUAAACUCAUGCAUAUUUGUCUUUCCUAAUAAAAUUGCACCACUAUUUCGUAAUCUUGACAUAGGAACCUCAUCUGCCUUCACCUGGCGAACCUCAUGAAACCAUUUAGAACCACCUGCACUUUUUUACAAGGAAAAAUGUUCAGCUAAAAAUGGCAGAGAUAUCUACAGAGGAAAUAUGAAGUUAAACAAAUACGAUGAAAAUAGCAAUCAAUCCUUGUCUGAAAUUGAAAAUCCCAUCCAAGAUUGACAGUGAAUUUCAUCCAUGACCACAAUCAAUAGAGGAAGGAGAUGAAAAAGAUUAGAGAGAUUUAGCACACUAGUGCGGUCAGAGCUUAGAGCUCAUUCAAUCAUUGGAUUUUGCUUUCCUCCGGGCAGAUCUGAAACUAUGAUAUUGCUUGCUUGUUGAGCCUAGCCAGAUAUGAGGUUGUGGCUGUUGUUUUUGACCCUUGAUGCUCGCCUGAUUGUGUUGUUGGUUUGAUCUGUUAGCGGUGCUUCAGUUGUUUUUUCCGAUGGGGUUUUGGUCGGGGUUUUGUUGGUUGGUUGUUUGGGGGUCAGAGAACUGGUGGUCUGGUGGUCAUUUGCUGGUUGUUUUAGCUUAGGUGAUGGAGGUCUGGGUUCUGGUGGGCUGAAGUGUGGUGUUACCAUCGGUUUUUGGCGUGGAGAGGGUGGUGUUUGAGAGAUGUUUCAGGCCGGUUUCGCGGUUGUUUGAAUGAUUCCGGCGGUGGGUGGUUUGUUUAAUGUUGUUCCAGCUUGGAACUGGUCGGAAAUGAAGAAGAAAGGUCAUGCUGUGGUCACCGAAAAGUAGAGGAAAAUGGGUUUGUUGUUGACGUUUUCUGCUUGGUGUCGUUUAUGGUUUUUAGGGUUUUUAGUGGUGAUUUGAGGUGGUCGUUUGGAGGUUGUUUCGGUGGUGUUUCGCCGGAUAAAAGAGAAAAUGAAUGGGGUUUUUGGGUUGCCGGAGCUUGAUUUGGGGUUUUAAUUUUGUAUAAAUGGGUCGGGUUCAGAUGAAAAAGAGAAAAUGGGGUCAUUUAAUUGAAAUUGGGUAAUUUUAGUUGAUUUGGGUUUUUCAUCCAAUUGAGGAAUAAAAAUGGUGAAAUUAGUAAGGGCAGGAGUAAAAAUAACUUUAUUUUAACAGCAAGGGCAUAGUCAACCAAUAAAAUAGAAUUAAGAGAUAUUUUUAACCCUUUUCCCAAUUAAUAAUUCCAUUUUAAUUGGGUUAUCGCAUAUAAAAACACAGAGAAUGAGAAUGAGAAUAAUUGAAAUUGACUAUGUUCGAUGAAGAACAGAAUAAUAUUCACUUACCAGAAGAGAAAAGCCGAAAGCUGGGGUUUAUAGGAGAAGAAAAACAAUUGAAGCCGAAGUGGUUGAGUAACUUAAACGAGUUCAUGUUUUCAACGAGCUAAGCUAAGCUAAGCGCAUCUAUUUUACCUUCUAAAAACAAAUUUUUUUCUCUCUCUUCGAUAUUAUAUUAAUAUUUCUAUUUCAUUUUUGUUUUCUUAUUUCAUAAUAUAAAUCUUUUCUUUUCUUUUUCAAAUAAUCAUCCUAUAUAAUUUUCAUGUAAUAUAAAAUUAUAAUUUUUUGAAAUUUUUAUUUAAUAUUAAAUAAUAUUUUAUUCUAAAUUUCUAAAGAACAACUAUGAAUAAUUGAAAAAAGAAAUCAACAAGCACAACCGCAAUCACAACCACUACUUCUCUAAAUCAUACACUAAUUCCUUUUUCGAAUAUCGUUAAAUCUAGAAACGACCUACCGGAUUACUAAUUUAUUGUUGUGAUUUUUAAAAUUAUUAUGUUAUGUAUUGUAUUUUAAAAUUAAAUUUUUUAUCUUAUCAUUUAAAUUUUGUGCAUUCUUCAUAGUGAAAAUUAAUAAUAACAUCAAAUUGUAUCACAAAGUGACGAAAAUUAAAGAAAAAAUAUUUAAAAUAUUAUUAAUUAGAGAUGAAAGUAGCAUAUAUAUAUUGAAAUAUUUUUAAAAAUGUUAUAUUACAUUUAAAAGGAAUUGCGAAUGUUAGAGAUUUAAUUAAUAAUCUUAUAUGACAAAUAAUAUGUUAAUUACAAAUAGUAGAAAUAAUAAUAUAAUAUUUAAAAGGUGAAAUAGAGAGUGGUUGAGGGCAUCUCCAACCCUAUCCUCUAUUUACUCUCCAAAUAUAGAGUUUUCUAUUUUUUCAGACAACCAACUCCAAUCCAAUUCUCUAUUUUACUCUCUUUAAAAUAAUCUUAUUACCUUUCCUCAAUAUUAUAUUAUUAUUUUUAUUUCAUUCUUAUUUUCUUAUUUCAUAAUAUAAAUCAUUUCUUCUUUUUGCACAUAAUCACUCUAUAAUCUUUAUGUAAUACAAAAUUAAUUUUUUUUUUCACAUUCUUCAUUUAAUAUAAAAUUAUAUUUUAUUCUAAAUUUCUAAAUAACAUAAAUUGCAAUAAAUAUUAUAUAUAAUACAUAUUAAGGAACAAUUCAAAUAAAAGUGAAAUCACUGAUGAAAUAUAAUUGCAUCAUAAAUAUUGUAUUAUCAUAAAAUUUAUUUUAAAUUUUACAUAAAUACUCAAUUUUCAAGAUUAUUGCGUUAGUCUCAUAAAUGUUCUUUUAAUGUAUUACGGAGUUCAAAAUGAGCAUUUUUUGUCCUUAUUUUUAUAUGUGUAGAUAAAAAUUGUUUAAAUUAACAAUUUCAUCUUGUAUUCAAUUAUUCAUGUACUAAUUUACUUCCCCUAUUCCAAUUUGAACUAUUGCAUCAAAUAUUUUCAUGCUUUUUAAAAAGUGUAGUUUAAUAAUUUAUCACUAUAACAUAAAAGUCGAUUGUUUGAAUUAUCAUGUAAAUUUUGUGCAUAUUUCAUAAUGAAAAAUAAUUAUAAUCUAAAUUACAUUUUUAAAAUGAGAAAAAAAUUAAAUUAGAAAAAUUGUUAAUUCAGGAUAGAAGUAGUAUACUUAUCAAUAAUAUGUUUUAGAUGUUAUAUUACUUAGAAAAUAAUUACAAAUAUUAGAGACUUAAUUAAUAAUCUUAUAUAAUAUAAAUAAUAUUAAAAUAACUUUAAAUUACAUAUUUAAAGUGACCAUUUUCUUUUAAAAAAUAAAAUAGAAAAAUUAUUAAUUUGCGAAAAUAGUAACUUAUUAAUAAUAUAUUUUUAAAUGUUAUAUUACAUUAGAAAAUAAUUACAAAUGAUAAAGACUCAAUUAAUAAUAUAAUAGAAAUAAUAUUAUAAUAAUCAAAAAGUAAAAUAGAGAGGUGAAUAAUAGUUCUCCAAAUUAUUCACCUCUCUAUAAUUGAAGAAUAGAGAGUGAAAUAGAGAUGGGUUGGAGAACUCAUUCUCUGUUUUACUCUCCAAAUAUAGACAAUGAAGAUUAAAAUAGAUUAGGAUUGGAGAUGGUCUAAGGCUCUAAGCUAAAAACGUGAACAAUUAUUAUUUUUUAUUUUCAUUAAUAGCCACGUGGGGUUAAGAAAAGGUCCUAAUUAAUAUGCUUUCAAUUAUACUCUCUCUAUUUCAAAAUGCGCGAAUUAUUGAUUUUUUUUAUAAUUAAAAAUAAGUGAAUUGUUCAAAGUUCAAAAGAAAUGUUGGAUUUUUUUAUUUAUUUUCUCCCCUCAUUUAUAUCUUUCAAGAUACUUCCUUCGGUUCAUUUUCAUUUCAUAAAAUCAAUGCAUAAAUUAUCAUAUUGUUCAUUUUUUAUCCUUGUGAGUUAUUAGCCUUGAAAAUAUAUAUUUGACCAACUUAGAAAAGCUAAGUAAAUGAUUCAUGUUCAUUGGUUAAAUUAAUUAAUCAAAAUAAUUAAUUCAUAUUCAUUGAUUGAAAACUUGAGUUCCAAAAAAAUUAAAUAAGGGUAGAAGAGUAAAGUUACAUCAUUUUUUAAUGCAAAUGCAAUGUAAAAAGGUGACAUAUAAAAUUGGACGGAGAGAGUAGUAAAUUGCUCAUAUUUAUGAUUUUAAUUUUAUUCUCAAAAAUAGUUUGAAAAUAACUAAAAAGCAAAAGUGGGAAAUAGUGUUCAAUUUAUGUCCUAAUUAUUUUCCUUAAUGAACGUGCAUUACCUUAACAAUUUAUUUCUUUUGAAAUGAAAGGAGUAAUAAAUAGUACUAUAAAUUAUAAAGUAAUAAUUAAUAACUUUACAUAUUGAUGGAAAAUUUGAUUAACUUUUGAAAUUUCACCUAUGACAUUUAAAUCAAGACAGGACAUAGGAAUAACAUAUAUUAUUUAAAAUUUGAAAAUUAUGUAAAAUGUAUUAUAAAUCAGAAUAAUUAAUGUUUUAAAAUAUUUUCAAAAAUAUAUUAGAACUUUGGUCAACUCUCUAAUUUUCAAACGUAUCACGUAAAUUGAUACAGUAACAUAUUAUUUUAAAAUUACGUUAAAAAGUACUUGGAGUAGUUCAAGUAUUUUGGAUUUUUUUAUUUAUUUGUAAUUAAGUUUAUUUUUGAAUUGUUUCAGCAAAUGAGGCACUGGAGAAUGUGGCGAGCUAUGGGCCUUUAAACAUACAUAAUGCUGCAAUUUAAGAGUUUCUUUUUGGAAAACCAUAUAAAUAGGUCAUAGAAUUCAAAAUAAUUACAUAUUCAUAUCCAAAUCCAAAUUGAAAGUAAUUCAAGAAAUACUUACUCUCUCAUAAAUAAUUGCAGCUCAAACCCCUUUCACUAAGACUGAGAAGUUUCGCUUAACUGAUAUUAAAUUAGUAUCAUAUACUGCAUUGAUAUCAUUAAUGUUGAUAAUUUAUAUAUAUAUAUAUAUAUACUAUAUUGGUAUCAUUAAAGUUUUUUGUUUAGAAGUCAAUGAUACUUUAAGAGUAUAUGCAUAUUGUUGUGGUAUCAUUGAGGUUUCUUGUUCAGAUGUUACUCAUUGGUCAAUGAUAUUAUAAGAGUAUAUAUAUUUAUGGUAUCACUAAGGUUUCUUGUUCAGAAAUUGCUCAUUAGUCAAUGAUAAUAUAAGAGUAUGUAUAUGAUUGACGAUUACCAACUUUAAUGAUACCAAUACAAUAUCUGAUAUAGUAUCAGUUAAGCGAAAUUAGUUUAAGGUAUAUAAUAUAAUUAUUUACAACAACAACAACAUACCCAGUGAAAUCCCACAAAGUGGGGUCUGGGAAAUAUAAUAUAAUUAUUUAGUGAGGUAUAAAUGUAAAGGGGUAUAUGUUUGUACUCUCUCUGUUUAAAAAAGAAUGACUUAGUUUGACUUGGAAAAGAGUUUAAUAAAAGAAAGAAGACUUUUUAAUCUUGUGGUUCUAAAAUAAAGUUAUGUCAAAUCACAAAUGUACCAAAAUGUCAUUUGAUCUUGUGACCUUAAACAUGUCAAGUGGAAAGUUAAAAUUAAAGUGUUGACAAAAAAGGAAAUAGGUCAUUCUUUUUUAAACAAACUAAAAAUGAAACAAGGCCAUUUUUUUUUAAAACAGAGGAAGUAAUUAUAUAAUAUAAUUAUUUACAACAACAACAACAUACCCAGUGAAAUCCCACAAAGUGGAGUCUGGGGAAUAUAAUAUAAUUAUUUAGUGAGGUAUAAAUGUAAAGGGGUAUAUGUUUGUACUCUCUCUGUUUAAAAAAGAAUGACUUAGUUUGACUUGGAAAAGAGUUUAAGAAAAGAAAGAAGACUUUUUAAUCUUGUGGUUCUAAAAUAAAGUUAUGUCAAAUCACAAAUGUACCAAAAUGUCAUUUGAUCUUGUGACCUUAAACAUGUCAAGUGGAAAGUUAAAAUUAAAGUGUUGACAAAAAAGGAAAUAGGUCAUUCUUUUUUAAACAAACUAAAAAUGAAACAAGGCCAUUUUUUUUUAAAACAGAGGAAGUAAUUAUUUUACUUUUAUGGGAUAUUUGUUUAGUUUCCCUUUUUUUUUUAACAUAUUAAAAAAUGAAAAGAGUACUUUCGCACACAAAAUUUAUGAUAAAAAGGGAAAAAGUAGUAUAAACAUAUUGUAUCAUGAAUUUUAUUUUAGACUUCUACAAUUUUCUGAAGAAAUUCACACUUAAGCAAGUAGCUUCUUAAAUCAGUUUUUUAAAAUUUACAAGUAGCUCAAACAAAAGAUUGCAAGCAAUUUUUUCAAGCUUGCAAUCAAAUUGAUAACUUAUGAGUAGAUCAAAUAAAAUCUUAAAUAACCUUUGAAAAGACUUCAUUAACUUCUUAAAAACCUCAUUUUUUUUUCUUUUCUUUUAUGAAGUUUCGAAAUAAAUAAUAUCAAUUUAUUAUAAGUUGAGAAGAAAGAUAAAUAGUGGGACCACCAACAAGGAAAAGAAAUGCAACCUUUCACACACAAUGACCAUCAAAGGAUGUGUUGAUUUUUUAAUUGGAGAUCUCAAGUUUAAAUUUUAUGCUGAUAGUAUUAAAAUUUAAAAAGCAUACGAAUAUAAAUGAGGAAAAAAUCCAAAAAAAAGAAGAAGAAGAAAACCUUUCACGCGGAAAUCGGAAUCACAAGCAAAAUCCUCUUUCCGCAGUCUGUCUAUUGUGGUCAAUGGUAUAUAUAUAUAUAAUAUUUUAUUUAUUUUAAAAUAAAUUGAUAUUUUUUUAUUUUUUAAUUAAAAGAUAUUAAAAUUAAAAUGAUAAAAAUAUUUUAAAAAAUAAAAUAAUAUAGAUAAAAUAUUAUUCUAGCCAAAUUCUGGCUAAUUUUUUUUUUUCCCUAUAUAUAAAAUGGGAAGAGAUAGAAAUAUGUGAUGGUGAGUCAUGCUUUUUUCUUGCAUUUACUAAUCAGCAGCUGCUCAGCCUCGAUUUUUUCGGCUUUUAUUUUUCAACUUUGAAUUUGCGUUUCUCAUAGUUUUACUUCUCCAUUCAUCCGCAAUUCCUCUGAUUAAUAACCUCUAGUAAGUGAGGAGAUGGAGCAAGAAAUGGCAGAGUUUCUUCCUCUAAACCGAGGAUCUAAAAUGGAGGAUUCAGAGAGGCAAACUUUUUCUCUGAUUCCAAUUAAAAGUAGAAAGAAGGGUGGACUAAUUACCAUGCCUUUUAUCAUAGGUACUGGAGUAGUUUCAAAUAUUUUGGGGAUCUUUUUUGUUAUGUUUUAUAAUUAAUUAAGCUAAUUUUGAAUCAUUUCAGCAAAUGAGGCACUGGAGAAUGUGGCGAGCUAUGGGCUUUUACCAAACAUGACAUUUUAUUUGAUGAGAGAAUACAGGAUGGACAUUACUACAACCCAAAAUCUUCUGUUUUUCUGGUCAGCUACUACUAAUUUUUUGCCUAUUGUUGGAGCUGUUGUUGCUGAUUCAUACCUAGGUCGAUUCCUUACUAUUGGCCUUGGUUCCAUCUUCAGUUUCCUGGUAUAUAACUUUUAACUUAAAACUAAUAUGUUGCUAAUUAGUGUUUUAUAGUUUCCGAUCUUCUUCUUCUCGUUCGGGUCGAGGUCACCAAUUUCUUGUCUUUGUCUGUGUGAUCUGUAUGAUAGGUCACUGUAAAAGCUUGCGCGAUAGUAAAUAUUUGUUGUAAUUUUUGGGAUAUUUUGCGAGUGUGCACCCGAAAAAUAGGUUCAGUUGGACCUGUUAACUAUACAGUAUAUGUGUCUAUUCCCAUAAAACAAGAGGAUUGUAGUUAACUCACCUACUUUUAACACUUCAAUGCCCUCUUGUUGCAGGGAACAGUAGUGCUGUGGUUAACAGCAAUGAUUCCGAAAGCAAGGCCUCCGCCUUGCGAUCAAUCAGGACAGGCUUGUAAAUCGACAACGACAUCACAAUACAUGCUCUUGGUUUUCUCGUUUCUGCUCAUGUCAAUUGGUGCUGGAGGUAUAAGACCGUGUUCUUUAGCCUUCGGUGCUAACCAGUUUGACAAGGGAGGUAGUAAUCCCAACAAGCAUACGGUGUUGGAGAGCUUCUUUGCCUGGUAUUAUACUUCAUCCAUAGUCUCUGUUCUGAUUGCCCUGACAGGUAUCGUUUACCUUCAAGACAGACUGGGGUGGAAAAUAGGUUUUGGAGUUCCUGCAAUCCUAAUGUUCUUAUCCGCGCUGUUUUUCUUCCUUGCUUCUCCGUUUUAUAUCAAGCCAAAGGUUUGCUCAAACGUGUUUGCCAGCUUUAUACAAGUACUUGUCGUUGC
RNAcentral lists this long non-coding RNA (24143 nucleotides) under Solanum tuberosum (potato). RNAcentral's name for it is "long non-coding RNA (STUB_LNC004237)". Lineage: Eukaryota; Viridiplantae; Streptophyta; Magnoliopsida; Solanales; Solanaceae. The record is from RNAcentral.